CAAUAGCGUAUAUUAAAGUUGUUGCGGUUGAAAAGCUCGUAGUUGGAUUUUCACCAAGAAAGACCGGUCUCGUCUGAGAACCUGGUUCUAUCGCGGUGCUUCUUGAUGAAGAGUGGUCACUUGAACGUGCUGCUCAUACUUCAGGGCCUUUACUUUGAGGAAAUUAGAGUGUUUCAAGCAGGCGACUGCCUUGAAUAUUUUAGCAUAGAAUAAUAGGAGAGGACUGCGGUCCUACUUUUGUUGGUUUCUGGGAUUGCAGUAAUUGUUAAUAGGGAUAGUCGGGGGCAUUCGUACUUAACUGUCAGAGGUGGAAUUUUGGAUUUGUUAAAGACGGACUACUGCGAAAGCAUUUGCCAAGGAUGUUUUCAUUG
This 371-nucleotide ribosomal RNA is filed under the name uncultured eukaryote. RNAcentral's name for it is "partial 18S ribosomal RNA". It matches the Rfam family "Eukaryotic small subunit ribosomal RNA", at positions 592 to 975 of the family's 1831-position model. The record is from RNAcentral.